AUACGGAGGAUGCGAGCGUUAUCCGGAUUUAUUGGGUUUAAAGGGUGCGUAGGCGGGCUGUUAAGCGUGAGGUGAAAGCUCGGGGCUCAACCCCGGAACUGCCUCGCGAACUGGCGGUCUUGAAUGUCCGUGCCGUGGGAGGAAUGUGUGGUGUAGCGGUGAAAUGCAUAGAGAUCACACAGAACACCGAUUGCGAAGGCAUCUCACGAACGGAUGAUUGACGCUGAGGCACGAAAGCGUGGGGAUCGAACAGGAUUAGAUACCCUGGUAGUCCACGCUGUAAACGAUGGACACUCGUUGUCGGCGACAGACAGUCGGCGGCCAAGCGAAAGUGAUAAGUGUCCCACCUGGGGAGUACGGUCGCAAGGCUGAAACUCAAAUGAAUUGGCGGGG
Molecule: ribosomal RNA, 393 nt
Filed under: uncultured bacterium
Lineage: Bacteria
Description: partial 16S ribosomal RNA
Rfam family: Bacterial small subunit ribosomal RNA
Source: RNAcentral